AUUGAACGCUGGCGGCAGGCCUAACACAUGCAAGUCGAGCGGAUGAAUGGAGCUUGCUCCUGGACUCAGCGGCGGACGGGUGAGUAAUGCCUUUGAAUCUGCCUUGAAGCGGGGGAUAACGUCCGCAUACGGGCUCAAAUACCCCAUACGUCCAGUGGUAGAAUUUGGGGGAUCCUCCGUCCUCACACUAACAUAUGAGCCUAGGUCGGUUCCGCUAGUUCGUGGGGUAAGGGCCUACCAAGGCGACGAUCCGUAACUGGUCUGAAGGGAUGUUCAGUCACACGGUAACUGAGACACGGUCCAGACACCUACGCGACGCAGCAGUGGGGACUAUUGCACAAUGCGCGAAAGCCUGAUACUGCCAAGCCGCGUGUGUGCAGAGGGUCUACGGAUUGUGAAGCACUUUAAGUUGGGGGGUUGUACAGUAAGUUAAUACCUUGCUAUUUUGACAUUACCGACAGAAUAAGCACCGGCUAACUUCGUG
This 484-nucleotide ribosomal RNA is filed under the name uncultured bacterium. RNAcentral describes it as "partial 16S ribosomal RNA". It matches the Rfam family "Bacterial small subunit ribosomal RNA", at positions 30 to 507 of the family's 1533-position model. The record is from RNAcentral.